UAACGCGUGAGGAACCUGCCUUCCAGAGGGGGACGAACAGUUGGAAACGACUGCUAAUACCGCAUGACACAUGACCGUGGCAUCACGGACAUGUCAAAGAUUUAUCGCUGGAAGAUGGCCUCGCGUCUGAUUAGCUGGUAGGCGGGGUAACGGCCCACCUAGGCGACGAUCAGUAGCCGGACUGAGAGGUUGACCGGCCACAUUGGGACUGAGAUACGGCCCAGACUCCUACGGAAGGCAGCAG
RNAcentral lists this ribosomal RNA (244 nucleotides) under uncultured bacterium. RNAcentral describes it as "partial 16S ribosomal RNA". It matches the Rfam family "Bacterial small subunit ribosomal RNA", at positions 111 to 354 of the family's 1533-position model. The record is from RNAcentral.